UCAGCCGUACUCCGAAUGCUCUAGAUUAGAGUUUGAUCAUGGCUCAGACGCUGAACGCUGGCGGUAGGCCUAACACAUGCAAGUCGAACGGCAGCACAGGAGAGCUUGCUCUCUGGGUGGCGAGUGGCGGACGGGUGAGGAAUACAUCGGAAUCUACUCUGUCGUGGGGGAUAACGUAGGGAAACUUACGCUAAUACCGCAUACGACCUACGGGUGAAAGCAGGGGAUCUUCGGACCUUGCGCGAUUGAAUGAGCCGAUGUCGGAUUAGCUAGUUGGCGGGGUAAAGGCCCACCAAGGCGACGAUCCGUAGCUGGUCUGAGAGGAUGAUCAGCCACACUGGAACUGAGACACGGUCCAGACUCCUACGGGAGGCAGCAGUGGGGAAUAUUGGACAAUGGGCGCAAGCCUGAUCCAGCCAUACCGCGUGGGUGAAGAAGGCCUUCGGGUUGUAAAGCCCUUUUGUUGGGAAAGAAAUCCAGCUGGCUAAUACCUGGUUGGGAUGACGGUACCCAAAGAAUAAGCACCGGCUAACUUCGUGCCAGCAGCCGCGGUAAUACGAAGGGU
This 565-nucleotide ribosomal RNA is filed under the name uncultured bacterium. RNAcentral's name for it is "bacterial SSU rRNA". It matches the Rfam family "Bacterial small subunit ribosomal RNA", at positions 1 to 533 of the family's 1533-position model. The record is from RNAcentral.